CUACGGGGGGCUCCAGUGAGGAAUUUUGCGCAAUGGGGGAAACCCUGACGCAGCAACGCCGCGUGAGUGAUGAAGGCCUUCGGGUCGUAAAGCUCUGUCAAGUGGGAAGAACCCACCCUGUGCUAAUAUCACAGGGUGCUGACGGUACCACUGAAGGAAGCACCGGCUAACUCCGUGCCAGCAGCCGCGGUAAUACGGAGGGUGCAAGCGUUAUUCGGAAUUACUGGGCGUAAAGGGCGCGUAGGCGGCCUUUUAAGUCAGAUGUGAAAUCCCGGGGCUCAACCCCGGAAGUGCAUCUGAAACUAAGAGGCUUGAGUAUGGGAGAGGGAAGUGGAAUUCCUGGUGUAGAGGUGAAAUUCGUAGAUAUCAGGAGGAACACCGGUGGCGAAGGCGACUUCCUGGACCAAUACUGACGCUGAGGCGCGAAGGCGUGGGGAGCAAACAGGAUUAGAUACCCGAGUAGUC
RNAcentral lists this ribosomal RNA (465 nucleotides) under uncultured bacterium. Its description in RNAcentral is "partial 16S ribosomal RNA". It matches the Rfam family "Bacterial small subunit ribosomal RNA", at positions 339 to 795 of the family's 1533-position model. The record is from RNAcentral.